GGAUUGAUUUCUUCCCUGCCCGCAACGCCGACACUCGGAAUCACCCUAACCUUGAGAACUGCUUCUUUUGCACUUGUUUGGUAACUAUCCCUAUGGGUAGCGAGGGUUGUCAGUGGGGAAUCAAUCUAGGAAUUCAAUAAGUGGGCGAGGGGCGGAUCAGAGAGUGCAGUCGAGUUGGGGGCUUACUUCUCACUUUUCUGUAUUCCGAGUUUAGAGUCGCUUGGCCUUUCACUCGCUGGUUG
RNAcentral lists this long non-coding RNA (242 nucleotides) under Musa acuminata (dwarf banana). RNAcentral describes it as "long non-coding RNA (MACU_LNC008327)". The record is from RNAcentral. Lineage: Eukaryota; Viridiplantae; Streptophyta; Magnoliopsida; Zingiberales; Musaceae.